ACCCCACCUCUGUUCCUCAUUGUGUUCCUCCCUCGCUCCACGAACACAAACAUCCCACAGGGUAACGGGGAUGUGUUUAUCACUGGGAGAUUUCUGUUGCAUGUUUCCUCCUUCAGCUCAUUUCACUACCGCGCUCUCACUUUUCAAUCCGUCCCUAAACCUCGUAACCGACACCUUCCCGGUAGGAUCACGGCUCUGAUCGAUACCGCAGCCGACUUCCCCAGAACUGAUCGAGGAGCCCAGUGAUGACGAGCGAACGAGAGGAAUGUAACGAGAGUAAGCGAUACCGCUCGGGCUGGACGGCAUACCGACGCUAAUCCUAGAGAGACAUUUCUGAAAUGAGCUGCGCCGAUCCAGGAGAAUGACUUGCAUGUGCAUUGCCUGCCUGCUUUCCCUAAACCCCUCCUCUCCUUUUAGUCCAGCGAGCAACAUGAGCUACUGGACCACAAUUUCCACUCACGAGUUUCCAGGCUCUCUGAUGCGGCCUUUAUGCGUAGCUUUAAGGCGUUCGUCGAGCGCGCAUCACUCUCUUCGACGCACGCACAGAAGAUGGGAAUUCUCUAAAAACAGCAUGGUUACAUUUCAAAAGAUGUGGCGUAUAAUGUUUAGCCUGCUGUUUAACCCAACAAUCGACCUUACUUUCUGAUAGCCAUACCACUACACCGGUCAAGGCUUCACAGUGAUUGAAGGGUAGAAGUUUCAAGAUACAGAUUAAAACGCAUCUCCAUCUAUUCGUGUCUAUGCCUUCGGGGGUUUUGUUUUUUUCUUCUUCACCCGAACAAAUUCCAGCGGAUCUCGGCCAUUCCGCGUCCGGCUGCGACUCGUCAAAAAUCUAGGAGACCAGUUACUGUGAAACAUCUUGCUGAAAUGGAGAGAAUAAAGUUUUUAUUUGCAUUUCCUUCAGAAUUGUGGAAUUAAUCAUUAUUAAUUUAAAAGAAGGCAUAAAAGUCCGAACUAUCGGUAUCAGCCGAUAUCACUCUGAAUAAUCGGUUUAAAAACUUUAAGCCGAUACGGCUGAGAAAUUUAAUAAUCGGUGCAUUUCUACUCU
Molecule: long non-coding RNA, 1048 nt
Organism: Ictalurus punctatus (channel catfish)
Lineage: Eukaryota; Metazoa; Chordata; Actinopteri; Siluriformes; Ictaluridae
Source: Ensembl